Small nuclear RNA from Rattus norvegicus (Norway rat), 103 nucleotides. Lineage: Eukaryota; Metazoa; Chordata; Mammalia; Rodentia; Muridae. The record is from Ensembl.
GUGCUUGCUUCGCCAGCACAUAUACUAAAACUGGAAUGAUACAGGGAUUAGCACGGCCCUUCACAAGGAUAACAUGCAAAUUCGUGAAGUGUUCCAAAAUGCC